GAGCACUUGGUGCCAGGGGCCGGGGUAAGACAGUGGGUGCGAGGUUUAAUCUGAUUUACUGGGCGUAAAGGGGGGGUAGGGGGUGAAUUAAGUCAAAUGUGAAAGCCCCGGGCUUAACUGGGGAAUUGAAUUCGAGAGUGGUUAGCUAGAGUAUGGGAGAGGAUGGUAGAAUUCCAGGUGUAGCGGUGAAAUGCGUAGAGAUCUGGAGGAAUACCGAUGGCGAAGGCAGCCAUCUGGCCUAAUACUGACACUGAGGUGCGAAAGCAUGGGGAGCAAACAGGAUUAGAUCCCCGAGUAGUC
RNAcentral lists this ribosomal RNA (300 nucleotides) under uncultured Thermobifida sp. Its description in RNAcentral is "bacterial SSU rRNA". It matches the Rfam family "Bacterial small subunit ribosomal RNA", at positions 496 to 795 of the family's 1533-position model. The record is from RNAcentral. Lineage: Bacteria; Bacillati; Actinomycetota; Actinomycetes; Streptosporangiales; Nocardiopsidaceae.